CCCUAAACCACCAACAUACUUGCCCACCACCGCUACCAGGACCCCAUCCUAUACAUAUGGGCAAACAACAACAACAGAGAAGCCGAAGUACUGGUUCGAUUGGACAGUAAACGACCAUUAUUCCGGCAACGAAUAUAACAGGGAGGAACACCGUGACGGAGAAAAGACCGAGGGAUUCUACAAGGUUUUGCUUCCUGACACACGAGUCCAGAAAGUCACUUACACUGUCGACGGCGACUCCGGUUUCGUGGCUGAAGUUACUUACGAAGGAGAGGCGAAGGAACCUACACAUGGACACGCUUAUCUGCCUCCUACUCCUCCUACACCUCCUCCUUCCAUCUAUGGCGCUCCUCAUUAUUCUCGAUAAGCUUCCCUCAAUUAUUUAUUACUUAAUAUUCUAGCUUUACCAAAAGUAAUACAUGAAUGGCAGA
This is a long non-coding RNA of Penaeus monodon (black tiger shrimp), 431 nucleotides long. RefSeq lists it as uncharacterized. The record is from RefSeq and is a predicted model, not a curated record. NCBI's taxonomy places the organism in Eukaryota, Metazoa, Arthropoda, Malacostraca, Decapoda, Penaeidae. The transcript has 2 exons.